CCCUGGCAAAUACAAUUCAAUCAUGGCAACUUAACUGACUUCAUGAUCGAUGACCAUUGGCAUAUCAGAGUUACCGACUGAUGAUCGUUCAGAUUUCUACAAUUGCCGACAUACAGUUGACACACUCAAAUUAUCGAUGUAUAGUCGGUAUACUGAAAACCGCCAGUGCAGAAAGUGCAUAAUGGUCACAUACCAUGAUCGGU
RNAcentral lists this long non-coding RNA (203 nucleotides) under Elaeis guineensis (African oil palm). Its description in RNAcentral is "long non-coding RNA (EGUI_LNC027308)". Lineage: Eukaryota; Viridiplantae; Streptophyta; Magnoliopsida; Arecales; Arecaceae. The record is from RNAcentral.